RNAcentral lists this long non-coding RNA (810 nucleotides) under Monodelphis domestica (gray short-tailed opossum). RNAcentral describes it as "lncRNA (ENSMODG00000037826.1)". The record is from RNAcentral. Lineage: Eukaryota; Metazoa; Chordata; Mammalia; Didelphimorphia; Didelphidae.
CUUGCAGCCUACUCUGGGAAUAAAAUUUUCACUUGGCUAAGGAGUAAAGGAUGACAAAGGAGAGAUGAAACAAGGUGUUUUAAGGACUCUUGUCCCCGAACUGAUUGUGCGGAUUAAUUUCUUUGAAACCUCUUCCCUUCAAAUGUAUCACAUUCAGCUCCAGACUGAGUCAGUUGGAAAACUGCUCCUUGGAACUCUGACCCAACCAGCUCAUAAAAGAUUCUAAGUCUUAAGACCUGCCAGUCAUUCUUGCAACUUCUACCUUCCUUUGCUACAACAGAAUGGAAAUGUUUGAGAUUCUAUCAGAUGACAUUUUUCAUCAUGAAUCCUUGACGAUUUUCUCAGAACACUGUAUUGAGGAGAUGAGCGAAAAUAGAGUCGUCAAUAAACAGACAUAUUUUCUAAUCCCAAUAGAAGCAGCAGAAGAGGAUGUUUCCUGCAAAUGCAUGCUAUUAAAGUCAUCUCUAAAACUAGCUUCCUCUCCCUCCAUCACCUCUCUGGUUCUUCAUUCAAAGUCCCUGUCCUAUCUCCAAGCAAAAGAUAUAGUACAGAGAGAAGCAGUGAAGGAGAAAAUCAGCUUAAAGAACAAGUUUAAAGGGAUAUUCAACUAAGUGGAUGGCAUAAAGGUACGAAACCAGGAGGAAGAAUACAUUCAGAGUGAAGAUUGAAAAUAUCGGCAAAAGAAAAGAACCAAUAUUCUGUUUUUACCAUUAAAGAUAGUGGGCCUGCCAGAUAUGGACUCCAGUAUUAUUAUCAGAGUAAAUGGCACUGAAUAAUAAAACACAUGAGAAAGAAAGCUAAACUAGAGCA